Oreochromis aureus is the source of this 2555-nucleotide RNA transcript. It is a transcript of the gene named abl interactor 2-like, with no coding region annotated. The record is from RefSeq and is a predicted model, not a curated record. The transcript has 8 exons. Lineage: Eukaryota; Metazoa; Chordata; Actinopteri; Cichliformes; Cichlidae.
UGUUAGCCCUGCCCUGGGACCAGCUGCUCUAAAUUCUGUACCCUGCAGUAUUUUUCCGCGUUCCCCACCGUCCACACACUCCCCAGCGUCGACUACCUCUUUCCAGAAAACUUUUUCCAUCUUCAUCAGAUACUAACAAGUACACUUUAAGGUUUUACAGGGCUUUUUUUAAGUGGCACCCAUGGAAGAAAUGACGGAGGAAAAUAAUUUUUCGGAACUUGUUACUCAGAUAUUACAAGAGGCGCCGGCUGCCAGGAAGGACCUUGUUGAUAACUGCAGCAACCUCCACCGAGUGGCAGAUUACUGCGAUAACAAUUAUGUUCAGGCAGAAGAUCAAUCCAAGGCGGUUGAAGAGAUCAAGGCUUUGGUGAACCAGUCGCUGGCCAGUGUGACCUAUCAGAUUAACAAUGUGGCCAGCUCUGUGCUGAGACUGCUGGACUUACAGGCCAGGCAGAUUAAAGGCAUGGAGUCCUCCAUCAACCUGCUGUCACUGGCUGCAGCUAUCCACUUUGAAAAGGUGGCCAGGAGAGAGAUCGGUGUGUUCACUACCCCCAAAAACAAGACUUUUUCCAAGCUUAUGACCCCACCAGCUUCAGGCAAGGAGCCCGAGGAAGCCUACUCAAGGGACCCAAUCUCGUACUCCAUACUGGACAACAUAGGACACAGUUUUCAGGUCCCUGAAGCGCCCAGAAAGAGAGCAGGAACUGCAGACAGCAUACAGAGCACUGCAGACACCUCUUUCUCCAGUCACGGCAUCGCUGUGCCACCACCCUCAGUCCCCGCCAACAACAGCCUGCCUCCUCCUCCUCCGGCCUCUUCGGCCAGUUUGGACCCCGACCUGCCUACUCCCCCGCCGCCUCCCUCUUUCUCCAUGGACGCUGACCUCCCCCCUCCGCCCACCUUCCCCUCGCCCACAGAUCUCCCCCCGCCUCCCCCUCCCCCUCCACCACCUAUAAGCCCAUCAAGCACCUUCCCGUCGCCACCUCCUCCCAUAUCUUCAGGUUCCCCUCUUCCUCCUCCGCCUCCUCUUCUGUCAGCACCACGUCUCAACACUGGCACCUCUGUUAAUGUGCCGCCACCGCCUCCCCCACCUCCCCCACCUCCCCUAAGACUGUAACAUUACAGUGUGUCUUGUACUUGGUAGAAUAACUUCUCAUAUUACUUGCGGUUACUCAGACUGUGAACAAGCCUGUGAGAUCAACAUUUUGUUUUUUUUUUAGCUCGAGAGCUUGCAGUGGUUUAAAGCCUGUUGAAUGGCAGUUCUGUUGGUACAGAUAGCCGCUGUACAGAUUCCUCCAACAUGUCUCAACAACACCUCGACUGCAUUCCUUAAAAACAAGCUGAAACAGGGAUUCUUGCUCUCCCUUGUCUGCUUAUCCCCCCACCCCACCCCCCACCCCAAAUGUGAUUUCCUUUCCUUAUUACACCUUCAUAUUGUUACCUUUAAUGGCAGUGGACUUUAGCCCAGUGCAGCUGUCAAUAUACUGUGUAGCAAGAGCAUAACUGAUGAUAAGUUGCGUCAGUAGCGCCAAUCUAGGUGAUUUCUGCUUCUUAAACAAGUCCAUGAGGCUGUACAUUGAUAUAAGUCAACAUUCUGCUUAACCUGCAUAUAGCUGAAGCUUUAAAGAAAAAUCUGAUGGACUUCAACUUUCUUAUUUAUUUGGUUCCUGUGUUGAUUGUCGCCAUCCUUGUGUGCAUAUUUUGUUGCCUAACUUAUAAUAGAGAACCAGGACAAUACUGCUCAUCUAGUUACAAUAAUUCUCCCGCUGUGUACACGAUUCCUAUACUGGACGAGCAACAGCGGGACGAGGAGGAAGUAAUUCACGUUUAUGAACUGUAUUUUCAGCCUCCUGUGUACAACUUAAGAAAUGACAGUCCUCCCCCUCCAUACAUACUUGAACCACCACCCUACAUCAACCCACCUUCACCACCACCCUACAUCAACCCACCACCGUGCCUCAACCAGCUCCCACUUCCCCCACCACCGUCGCCACCACCACUGCCAGCCCCACCACCCUACAUCAACCAGUCACCACUGCCACCAACGCCGCCACCGCCACUACCAUCACUACUACUACCAGCACCACCACCCUACAUCAGUCCACCAUCAUCCCCCUAACUCAGCCCAUGACCAUUUAUGCCUUCUUCCAUCCAUUCCAAAAUAUGAGCAUAUAUGUGGUCAGAAGUUUCAUUUGGGACAUUCGGUGUAUGUAUUAGAUUAAAUAUUGUAAUUCCACAUUGUGGGCGAAAGAUUCCUGUAUUGACAUAGUUCAUUUCAAACUUAAAUGCACUAAUGCACUUAUAUAUAAAAUAUGUUUUUGGUGAAAAGUUUUCUUGUAGUUUUUUUUGUUUGUUUGUUUGUUUUUGCUGUUUCAUUGUAAUGAUCCUGCUUCACAACAAAUUCACAUUUAAAAAACUGACCUGAUGUUUCUCAAAGGAAGACCGAGGAAUAUGGAGGACCACAAGAGCCACGCGCAUCGAAAUAAAAAUUUCUGUGCUUAAAUAAUGAAUUGUAGAAUAAAUUCUGCAAUUGUAAAUUCAUUUUUGAAUUCCAA